RNAcentral lists this ribosomal RNA (498 nucleotides) under uncultured bacterium. RNAcentral describes it as "partial 16S ribosomal RNA". It matches the Rfam family "Bacterial small subunit ribosomal RNA", at positions 30 to 523 of the family's 1533-position model. The record is from RNAcentral.
AUUGAACGCUGGCGGCAUGCCUUACACAUGCAAGUCGAACGGUAACAGGUCUUCGGAUGCUGACGAGUGGCGAACGGGUGAGUAAUACAUCGGAACGUGCCUAGUAGUGGGGGAUAACUACUCGAAAGAGUGGCUAAUACCGCAUGAGAUCUACGGAUGAAAGCAGGGGAUCGCAAGACCUUGUGCUACUAGAGCGGCCGAUGGCAGAUUAGGGAGUUGGUGGGAUAAAAGCUUACCAAGCCGACGAUCUGUAGCUGGUCUGAGAGGACGAGCAGCCACACUGGGACUGAGACACGGCCCAGACUCCUACGGGAGGCAGCAGUGGGGAAUUUUGGACAAUGGACGAAAGCCUGAUCCAGCAAUGCCGCGUGCAGGAUGAAGGCCUUCGGGUUGUAAACUGCUUUUGUACGGAACGAAAAGCCCCGGGUUAAUACCCUGGGGUCAUGACGGUACCGUAAGAAUAAGCACCGGCUAACUACGUGCCAGCCGCCGCGGUAA